CGCACUGUUAUAAGGGUAGUGUUAUGGAUAGAGCUCAGUUUUGUAUUAAUACCGUAAAUAAGUCAAUAUUAUAAAGUGCUAACAAGGUAGUAUAUAUUUACUAGCUUACUUCAGUUAAUGGUAUUAAAUUAAUAGCAGGAGUAAUUUAAUCUUGAUUAAUAAGGUUAACAGUUAAGAUGAGUGAUAAGCGUCGAAAUGCUAGGAUUCAGGGAUCCUGGGCUGGUCGGAGUAGUCAAAAGUGUGAGAAAGGAUUAACUUCUGGAUAUACUGGGAAGAGUAUGUUUGAAUACAAAGAAGGUGAAAGUUCAGUAGGUGAUGAUCCAUUUCAAAAAGAGGAGACUAUUGAAAUCAAGGAUCCUGGAGAACAUUCAUUAGUUGGUGGAACGAGUGGAUCUUCUAGUGUAUAUUUUCAGCCAGAUUUUUUUACACCCGAAGAAGCUGAUAGAUAUUUUGAUAAGCUGAUUGAACAGAGAAGAAUUCCUUGGAAGCAAACAGAUAUUAAAAUCAUGGGAGAAAAAUACCCAACACCAAGGCUCGUGGCCUGGUAUGGUCCAUUUCCUUAUUCAUAUUCAGGUGUAACAUUGGAAGCAGAUCAGAAGUGGCCCGAUGAUCUGAAAGAAAUACAGCUAAAAGUUGAACAGCAUUUGAAUGAAAUUCAGAAAGAAAAAGUCAGUUUCAAUUCUGUUCUCUUAAAUUUAUAUAGAAAUGGUAAAGAUAGUGUUGCAUGGCAUAGUGAUGAUGAACUGUCCAUGGGAGUGCAUCCAGUGAUUGCGUCAGUUUCACUUGGAGAAACUAGGAAGUUCGAACUGAAAAAAAGACCACCAAAGUAUAAUAGCAAGAACGAAAUCGUCAGUUAAUGAAAAUAUAGAUUACAGAGUACACUUGAAAAAUGGUAGUUUGAUUGUCAUGAAAGGUGUUCUUCAGCAGGACUGGUUGCACCGAGUGCCAAAGGAGUAUCAUGAUCGUGGCCGUCGCAUUAAUCUUACAUUUCGAACAGUGUAUGAACAUGUAUAAUAAUUAUAGGAUCGUGUUUUACACAAUUUAAAAUAAUAUAAGUUCUUAAGAGCUUGAGAGGAAACAAACUGAAGUUAAUUUUUCAAAAUACUUUAAUAUAUAGUGUCUUGCAAGUCUGAUUUUGUAAUUAUCUAUGAAUAAUUAAACUAUUUCCAACAUGCUUA
RNAcentral lists this unclassified non-coding RNA (1178 nucleotides) under Limulus polyphemus (Atlantic horseshoe crab). RNAcentral's name for it is "alpha-ketoglutarate-dependent dioxygenase alkB homolog 3-like, transcript variant X4". The record is from RNAcentral. Lineage: Eukaryota; Metazoa; Arthropoda; Merostomata; Xiphosura; Limulidae.